GGGGUAGUUACGGUUUCGAUUGCCCGCGGAUGGUCUUGUAAGCAUACCGAAGUCCCUGCUUCGUUAAAAAGGGAAACUAAAUUUAAAUGCAGAUAAUAGUAAUUUUGCAUUCGCCGCUUAAUUUUUAGCGGCUGCUUCGCCGGGCUGCCCGCCGGUCCGGCCGGAGUAUCAUUUUCAGGCGGGGAACGUUCGUUUUCGCUCUGACCGCGGCGUAGCGAUCGUAUUUUGCGGUCCACGGCGGCGCGGGUUUGUUCUUCGAAACGCGCGGCAAGGGUUCAAAGAAGAAAUAAGUAUGUAGAAAGCAGACUUGAAACGGGUAAGACGGCGGUUCGACUCCGCCCUACUCCACCA
Molecule: transfer-messenger RNA, 351 nt
Filed under: Christensenellaceae
Lineage: Bacteria; Bacillati; Bacillota; Clostridia; Christensenellales
Also listed under: 1 other name
Description: RGIG3732 sp017959995 Standard tmRNA
Rfam family: transfer-messenger RNA
About the family: Bacterial tmRNA, also known as 10Sa RNA or SsrA, is named for its dual tRNA and mRNA-like properties. Its role is to liberate the mRNA from a stalled ribosome.
Source: RNAcentral